RNAcentral lists this ribosomal RNA (417 nucleotides) under uncultured prokaryote. RNAcentral's name for it is "partial 16S ribosomal RNA". The record is from RNAcentral.
CCCUAUGGGGCGCAGCAGGCUGAGGCAGGGGAGAAGGCGGCGGAGGUCCGACGCAGAUGACGUGAGUCAGGCGACGUUUUGCACCUGUCACAAGCAGUUCGGCGGGCCGAGCCUGAACGAGUUGCGUGAGGAAAACAGCCGCUUGAAGCGGUUUACGCCGGAUCUCGGUCUGGACCGGCGGAUCCCAUAGGAGAUCGUGUCAAGAAAGCGCUGAUGCCGCGUGCCCGCAGGGAGCUUACGCGCUGGGCGGAACGGACGUGGAAGGUGAGCGGGCGGCAGCCCAGGCCGCUGUAUGGCUUAGUUCCUCAAACUCCACCACAGAAGACUUGUCGCAAACCCCAGGAGGGACAAGUCGGGCUAUCCCGGAUGCCACCCCAUGGCCGCAUGUACAUGGAAGCUAUAGCUUGGCGGGGGGGC